GACGAACGCUGGCGGCGUGCUUAACACAUGCAAGUCGAACGAUGAAGCUAGAGCUUGCUCUGGUGAAUUAGUGGCGAACGGGUGAGUAACACUUGAGUAACCUGCCCCGAACUCUGGGAUAACUGCUGGAAACGGUAGCUAAUACUGGAUACGACCUACGAAGGCAUCUUCUGUAGGUGGAAAGAAUUUCGGUUCGGGAUGGACUCGCGGCCUAUCAGCCUGUUGGUGAGGUAAUGGCUCACCAAGGCGACGACGGGUAGCCGGCCUGAGAGGGUGACCGGCCACACUGGGACUGAGACACGGCCCAGACACCUACGGGAGGCAGCAGUGGGGAAUAUUGCACAAUGGGCGCAAGCCUGAUGCAGCAACGCCGCGUGAGGGAUGACGGCCUUCGGGUUGUAAACCUCUUUUAGUAGGGAAGAAGCGAAAGUGACGGUACCUGCAGAAAAAGCACCGGCUAACUACGUGCCAGCCGCCGCCGUAA
This 484-nucleotide ribosomal RNA is filed under the name uncultured bacterium. RNAcentral's name for it is "partial 16S ribosomal RNA". It matches the Rfam family "Bacterial small subunit ribosomal RNA", at positions 28 to 523 of the family's 1533-position model. The record is from RNAcentral.